This is a long non-coding RNA of Mobula hypostoma (lesser devil ray), 150 nucleotides long. RefSeq lists it as uncharacterized. Lineage: Eukaryota; Metazoa; Chordata; Chondrichthyes; Myliobatiformes; Myliobatidae. The record is from RefSeq and is a predicted model, not a curated record. The transcript is spliced from 3 exons.
CUGGACAUGAAACUCAUGCUUUCUCGUAGCGUUAAAGUGCAAUGCAUAGUAGUCCUAAACGGGAAUAUUCCCUUUGGUGCUGGCUGCACGCAAAGAGUCACCACUUUCCAGCGCCAUCUUGUUGGAGACUGAUGAGGUGGAAUUUAAGGU